Long non-coding RNA from Panicum virgatum (switchgrass), 1104 nucleotides. RefSeq lists it as uncharacterized. The transcript has 3 exons. The record is from RefSeq and is a predicted model, not a curated record. Lineage: Eukaryota; Viridiplantae; Streptophyta; Magnoliopsida; Poales; Poaceae.
GAUUCCUUCCUGGGUCCCACUGCUCCCUGGACCCGAGGCCCGAGCCCGCGCUGCGGCGCGGAGGCUUCUUGCCUCCUCCGCCGCCGGUGCCCCGAGCUUCGGCGCGACUGCGGCCGUGACCCCCGCCGCGCGUCGCUGCCCACUGCUCCUUGGCCCCUGCAGCAAGCCGCUCGAGGUUCCUGACGCCUUGAGGCCCGAGCCCACGCGGCGGCUUCUUGGCUCCUCCGCCGCCGCUGCCUCGAGCUCCGCGGUGACCGCGGCCGUGACCUCCGCCGCCGUUGUGGUAGCCAGCAGCCAUCUUCUUCAUACUCUCCAGAAUCGAAUCCCCAUUCCCUUUCCCCCCUAUCCCCUCCAUUGUUUCCCCAUCAGUGCUUCUUAUUUUUGUAACCCCUUUCGCUUGGUGAUGUGAAUAUUCAAUUUGUCAUUCUGCACAAACAAGUAGAAGCUGGAGAGUUGGAAUUGGCUUCUAGCAUCCAUGAAUUAGAGGCAAAGUUGCGUGAGCAGGGUUUGAUGAACAAAUUGAACAGGGUACCAACUUGUGUUAAUUUUCACCAAGACCAUGUACCAAAGAGGUCGCCUUAGCACUUCCCUACACGGCAAAAACCUGCAGCAUCAAAUUGUUUUUCAUCAGCACCCAACAAUGGUGGUAGAGUAUAACUCAUUUUGAAGUUGUCGAGGCAGUGCCAUUGGAAGUUGUGGUGCUGUGCAAUAGAAUGUUGAGCUGGGACAAGUUUCUGAUCAGUAGUAAAUUCAUGGCUGAAUUUGGUGCCAUUGGAAGUGCCAAAAUCUGACCAUUGGAAGUUCAUGCAGGCGGACCACUAGAUUAAUCCUGCUGAAUCAUUGUACCAACUAUACUGUUUAUGGCUGGGAAUUGUGGCGACAUCCCAGGAUUGUUGAUUGACCUCUUGGAGAUGAUCUUGCAUCAAUGUAGUAGCCAUGUUUUGCGCCCUUGCUGGUCAAAUAUUUGAUAUUUUGGCAUGUACUACUAAUCUUGUUAUGGACUUGUGUUCAGUGCAUUUGUUGUCUGGAUAUGGUUCGUACGCUGUAACCCUUGUAUAUUGAGCAUUUUCCCAUUUGAAACCAAUCUAAAUUAUGCCCAAAGAA